UAGGGAAAUGCUCUAUGAGAUGAUCCAUCUUAGCUCCUGGAGGGGAAAUUGUUGAACUUAAAGUAGAGAUCAACAAGAAAUGAAAAUGGCUCGCAUGUCUGGUAGAUAGAUUUGGAGAUGCAUCGGGCUAGAAUUUUAAAGGGAAGUCGGAAGAUUCUUAACGACGAAGGUAAUUUUAUCAAUAGAAAGAAUAUAACUCUAUAGUAAUAAGAAGUUUCAUUGAAGAUAUGCUGAAAUAUAUAUUCCAGU
This 249-nucleotide long non-coding RNA is filed under the name Elaeis guineensis (African oil palm). RNAcentral describes it as "long non-coding RNA (EGUI_LNC045324)". The record is from RNAcentral. Lineage: Eukaryota; Viridiplantae; Streptophyta; Magnoliopsida; Arecales; Arecaceae.